CUUCAUUUACAGCAACAGGAAUCAUUUGAAUUCUUUGAGAUGGGACGAGGCAGAGUUUUGAGUUACUUUGCUCUCGCGAUGUUCAUUCAAUAUUCCUGCAGUCAGACACUGAUCGAGUCUGAAUCAGUGAUCAUCAAACCUGAUCAGUCUCAUAAACUGACCUGCACAGCUUCUGGAUUUAACUUUGGGAGCUACUGGAUGGCUUGGAUCAGACAGGCUCCUGGAAAAGGGCUGGAAUUUGUUGCAACUAUGUAUGAUAGUGCUAACAAGUAUUUCUCCAGUGCAGUUAAUGGCCGCUUCACCAUCUCCAGAGACAACAGUCAGAAGCAGGUGUAUCUGCACAUGAACAGCGUGAGGACAGAAGACACAGCUGUGUAUUACUGCUGGGCGUGA
Neoarius graeffei (lesser salmon catfish) is the source of this 393-nucleotide non-coding RNA. The record is from the annotation of a RefSeq genome assembly. Lineage: Eukaryota; Metazoa; Chordata; Actinopteri; Siluriformes; Ariidae.